GACGAACGCUGGCGGCGUGCUUAACACAUGCAAGUCGAACGAAGAGCGACGGAAGCUUGCUUCUCUCAAUCUUAGUGGCGAACGGGUGAGUAACGCGUAAUCAACCUGCCCUUCAGAGGGGGACAACAGUUGGAAACGACUGCUAAUACCGCAUACGAUCUAACCUCGGCAUCGAGGAUAGAUGAAAGGUGGCCUCUACAUGUAAGCUAUCACUGAAGGAGGGGAUUGCGUCUGAUUAGCUAGUUGGAGGGGUAACGGCCCACCAAGGCGAUGAUCAGUAGCCGGUCUGAGAGGAUGAACGGCCACAUUGGGACUGAGACACGGCCCAGACUCCUACGGGAGGCAGCAGUGGGGAAUCUUCCGCAAUGGACGAAAGUCUGACGGAGCAACGCCGCGUGAGGGAUGACGGCCUUCGGGUUGUAAAGCUCUGUUAAUCGGGACGAAAGGCCUUCUUGCGAAUAGGGAGAAGGAUUGACGGUACCGGAAUAGAAAGCCACGGCUAACUACGUG
This 510-nucleotide ribosomal RNA is filed under the name uncultured bacterium. RNAcentral's name for it is "partial 16S ribosomal RNA". It matches the Rfam family "Bacterial small subunit ribosomal RNA", at positions 28 to 507 of the family's 1533-position model. The record is from RNAcentral.